RNAcentral lists this ribosomal RNA (406 nucleotides) under uncultured bacterium. Its description in RNAcentral is "partial 16S ribosomal RNA". It matches the Rfam family "Bacterial small subunit ribosomal RNA", at positions 28 to 526 of the family's 1533-position model. The record is from RNAcentral.
GACGAACGCUGGCGGCAUGCUUUACACAUGCAAGUCGGACGAGUGGCGAACGGGUGAGUAACAUAUCGGAACGUAACGAGUAAUGGGGGAUAACUAAUCGAAAGAUUAGCUAAUACCGCAUAUUAUUCGAGCGGCCGAAAUCUGAUUAGCUGGUUGGUGGGGUAAAGGCCUAACAAGGCGACGCUCAGUAGCGGGUCUGAGAGGAUGAUCCGCCACACGGGGAUUGAGACACGGCCCAGACUCCUACGGGAGGCAGCAGUGGGGAAUUUUGGACAAUGGGCGCAAGCCUGAUCCAGCAACGCCGCGUGUCUGCAGAAGGCCGUCGGGUUGGAAAGGAAUUUUGUCAGGGAAGCGGUACCUGAAGAAUAAGCACCGGCUAACUACGUGCCAGCAGCCGCGGUAAUAC